CAUAGCUCAAUUGGAUAGAGCGUUGGCCUCCGAAGCCGAAGGUUGCAGGUUCGAUUCCUGUUGG
This 64-nucleotide transfer RNA is filed under the name pig gut metagenome. It matches the Rfam family "tRNA", at positions 6 to 65 of the family's 71-position model. From Rfam's summary of the family: Transfer RNA (tRNA) molecules are approximately 80 nucleotides in length. Their secondary structure includes four short double-helical elements and three loops (D, anti-codon, and T loops). The record is from RNAcentral.